GGAUGCGAUCAUGCCAGCACUAAAGCACCGGAUCCCAUCAGAACUCCAAAGUUAAGCGUGCUUGGGCGAGCGUAGUACUAGGAUGGGUGACCUCCUGGGAAGUCCUCGUGUUGCAUUCC
Molecule: ribosomal RNA, 119 nt
Filed under: Triticum aestivum (bread wheat)
Lineage: Eukaryota; Viridiplantae; Streptophyta; Magnoliopsida; Poales; Poaceae
Source: RNAcentral